This 1001-nucleotide long non-coding RNA is filed under the name Salmo salar (Atlantic salmon). RNAcentral's name for it is "lncRNA (ENSSSAG00000114810.1)". Lineage: Eukaryota; Metazoa; Chordata; Actinopteri; Salmoniformes; Salmonidae. The record is from RNAcentral.
GGAUAUUUCACUAGGGGAGGGGGGAUAUUUGACUAGGGGAGGGGUGAUAUUUGACUAGGGGAGGGGGGAUAUUUGACUAGGGGACGGGGUGAUAUUUGACUAGGGGUGGGGUGAUAUUUGACUAGGGGAGGGGGGAUAUUUGACUAGGGGAGGGGUGAUAUUUGACUAGGGGAGGGGGAUAUUUGACUAGGGGAGGGGUGAUAUUUCACUAGGGGAGGGGGGAUAUUUGACUAGGGGAGGGGUGAUAUUUGACUAGGGGAGGGGUGAUAUUUGACUAGGGGAGGGGUGAUAUUUGACUAGGGGAGGGGUGAUAUUUGACUAGGGGAGGGGUGAUAUUUGACUAGGGGAGGGGGGAUAUUUGACUAGUGCAGGUUGAUAUUUGACUAGGGGAGGGGGGAUAUUUGACUAGGGGAGGGGGGAUAUUUGACUAGGGGAGGGGGGAUAUUUGACUAGGGGAGGGGUGAUAUUUGACUAGGGGAGGGUGAUAUUUGACUAGGGGAGGGGUGAUAUUUGACUAGGGGUGGGGUGAUAUUUGACUAGGGGACGGGGUGAUAUUUGACUAGGGGAGGGGGGAUAUUUGACUAGGGGAGGGGGGAUAUUUGACUAGGGGAGGGGUGAUAUUUGACUAGGGGAGGGGUGAUAUUUGACUAGGGGAGGGGAGAUAUUUUACUAGGGGUGGGGUGAUAUUUGACUAGGGGACGGGGUGAUAUUUGACUAGGGGAGGGGGAUAUUUGACUAGGGGAGGGGUGAUAUUUGACUAGGGGAGGGGUGAUAUUUGACUAGGGGAGGGGUGAUAUUUGACUAGGGGAGGGGGGAUAUUUGACUAGUGCAGGUUGAUAUUUGACUAGGGGAGGGGUGAUAUUUGACUAGGGGAGGGGGAUAUUUGACUAGGGGAGGGGGAUAUUUGACUAGGGGAGGUGUGAUAUUUGACUAGGGGAGGGGUGAUAUUUGACUAGGGGUGGGGUGAUAUUUGACUAGGGGACGGGGUGAUAUUUGACUAG